GGGUCAUUUCAAAGAGGGCUUGUUGGGCUAUAAAACCAAGAGCUCUUAACGCUGUGACCAAAGACUGAUGUUCUCCACAGGAUGACAUAGUCACUCAGUAGUGCUGUGUUUUUCUGAGGAGAUACAUUU
Jaculus jaculus (lesser Egyptian jerboa) is the source of this 129-nucleotide small nucleolar RNA. Lineage: Eukaryota; Metazoa; Chordata; Mammalia; Rodentia; Dipodidae. The record is from Ensembl.